Molecule: non-coding RNA, 98 nt
Organism: Psychrobacter sp. PRwf-1
Lineage: Bacteria; Pseudomonadati; Pseudomonadota; Gammaproteobacteria; Moraxellales; Moraxellaceae
Source: Rfam
AACAUAAGUCUCAAGAUUAUUUUUAAUAUAAUAAAGACUCAUUUUUCAUAACUGGAGAGAAAUCAAUGGCUCGUAUUGCCGGCGUCAACAUCCCGGAU